GUGGGGAAUAUUGGACAAUGGGCGCAAGCCUGAUCCAGCCAUGCCGCGUGAGUGAUGAAGGCCCUAGGGUUGUAAAGCUCUUUCAGUGGGGACGAUAAUGACGGUACCCACAGAAGAAGCCCCGGCUAACUUCGUGCCAGCAGCCGCGGUAAUACGAAGGGGGCUAGCGUUGUUCGGAUUUACUGGGCGUAAAGCGCACGUAGGCGGAUCGUUAAGUCGAGGGUGAAAUCCUGGAGCUCAACUCCAGAACUGCCUUCGAUACUGGCGAUCUUGAGUCCGGAAGAGGUGAGUGGAACUCCUAGUGUAGAGGUGGAAUUCGUAGAUAUUAGGAAGAACACCAGUGGCGAAGGCGGCUCACUGGUCCGGUACUGACGCUGAGGUGCGAAAGCGUGGGGAGCGAACAGGAUUAGAUACCCGUGUAGUCC
RNAcentral lists this ribosomal RNA (425 nucleotides) under uncultured bacterium. RNAcentral's name for it is "partial 16S ribosomal RNA". It matches the Rfam family "Bacterial small subunit ribosomal RNA", at positions 354 to 796 of the family's 1533-position model. The record is from RNAcentral.